This 429-nucleotide ribosomal RNA is filed under the name Pseudomonadota bacterium. RNAcentral describes it as "Proteobacteria bacterium partial 16S ribosomal RNA". It matches the Rfam family "Bacterial small subunit ribosomal RNA", at positions 355 to 776 of the family's 1533-position model. Lineage: Bacteria; Pseudomonadati; Pseudomonadota. The record is from RNAcentral.
UGGGGAAUAUUGGACAAUGGGCGAAAGCCUGAUCCAGCCAUGCCGCGUGUGUGAAGAAGGUCUUCGGAUUGUAAAGCACUUUAAGUUGGGAGGAAGGGCAGUAAGCGAAUACCUUGCUGUUUUGACGUUACCGACAGAAUAAGCACCGGCUAACUCUGUGCCAGCAGCCGCGGUAAUACAGAGGGUGCAAGCGUUAAUCGGAAUUACUGGGCGUAAAGCGCGCGUAGGUGGUUCGUUAAGUUGAAUGUGAAAGCCCCGGGCUCAACCUAGGAACUGCAUCCAAAACAGGCGAGCUAGAGUAGGGCGGAGGGUGGUGGAAUUUCCUGUGUAGCGGUGAAAUGCGUGGAUAUAAGAGGGAACACCAGUGGCGAAGGCGACCACCUGGGCUCAUACUGACACUGAGGUGCGAAAGCGUGGGGAGCAAACAGG